Long non-coding RNA from Papaver somniferum (opium poppy), 2034 nucleotides. RefSeq lists it as uncharacterized. The record is from RefSeq and is a predicted model, not a curated record. NCBI's taxonomy places the organism in Eukaryota, Viridiplantae, Streptophyta, Magnoliopsida, Ranunculales, Papaveraceae. The transcript is spliced from 3 exons.
AGAAUUUCAUUCUCUAUUCUUCUUUUAUUUCUUCUUCUCCCUCUGCUAUUCUUCUUCUUCUUCUGCGUGUGUAUGAGAAAUUAAAAGGGAUCUUUUCAAUCGGAAGGAGGUGGAUAAGAUCAUGGAGUAGAUGAUAGUGAUGGUGUCUUUGUUUGUUGUUGAUUCAGACUCGAAGGAGGAAUUGAAUUAGAAGUUAGGGUUUAUACAAAAAGCUCAGCGAAGAAUUAAGAGAUGAAAUUGGUGUUCUAGGAGCAUGAAUUGAGAUGGGUUUAUGUCUAAUUGAGUGAUAUGAAGUUUUUUCGAUGUCUAAUUGAGUGAUAUGAAAUUCAGAGAGGCUGUAGAAGAUGAAUUUGAAGCUGUGGAAGAUUAAUUGCAUGAAUUACAGUAUUGAGUGAAGCAGGGUUGUGCUAGCAGUGAAGAUUGAUUCAAUUGAAGAAUCGGGGUUUGUGAAGUGGGUGAACAGAAGAAUCAAAGGAAAUAGAUGAUGGGUAAGCUUGGUUGGAGGUUAUGGUGAAUCUGAGAUGAAGAAGAACAACAAUUGAAAGAUGAUACUGGGAGUUAGGGUUUCAUAAGAAGCAACUCAGUGAAGCAAUUCAGAGGAUAUAGAACCUGGGUAAGUUGUUAAAUUUCUUUAAUUAUGAUACUAUAAGAAUGGAUGGUUAAAUUGUUGAUUUAAGAUGCUGCUGAGUGAAAUUGAGUUUAAGAUGAUUAUAGAGUAUAUGAAUGUGCUGAUAUGAGAAUAAAGUUAAAGAACUAUAAUGAUGAGAUUUGGGGAAACUGUAGGCUUGAGAGGGUUCUAUACUAGCUGUGAUUGUUGUUGCUGUGUUGAAUGGCCUGAGUUUGAGAUGCAAUGGCUAAGCAGUGCAUUAACUGAUUGCUAGUGAUGUUUGUUAUUGUGGAGACGAUGUUACUGUUGUAGUAUUGUGGAUUGCAAAGGAGUUAGAGCCUAUUGCUGAACUGUUAUUGAUGUUGUUACAUGAAAUGCUUUGGUGGAGUGGUUAUUGAGUUGAAGUGAAUAUUAACUAGUAUUGCAGGCGGAAUGGGAAAGAUAAGUAGAGGUGUUGCUGAGAUGGAGUUGGCAAUGUCACUGUAAUUGGUGCAAAUGAUUUGGCAGUAUUGAAUGAGAUGAUAUUGUGAUUGAAGUUAUAAAGAGGAUUAGAUAAAUGUGUUGAGUUGAAUCUCUAAAGGAAAGCUUGUAGCUACUGCAAUUGCAGUUAGUCUUUAUUAACAACGAUCGAUUCAAAGGAUGAACCAGUGGAUCGUGGAUCUCGAGGUAGGCGUGGCUUUUCAUCAAAAGAGGAUCACAAGCAUGUCGUUCAUCUUAUGAAGCCUGGAACGUCAGUGUGUAAGAUGAGGCAAUGGCCACUUCUAGCUGAUGAAUUAAGCAGGGGAGAAGUUUCGGAAGUGGUCGAUCUAGUCAAUUAUACGGGGUUGCUUUCUGUGGUCGACAAUUUGGGCCACCUUACUUACAAUAGACAUCUUUGUUCCGCCCUUUCCGAGAGAUAUUACGGGGAAAUAGAUACUUUACAUCUUCCGUUUGUUAUGGACCUAAUGGUGCAUAGGAACCGGCCCGAGAGGAAGAAUAUAUGAAUCUUAAAGCUUACGUUUGAUUAGAUUCGAACUUUAGGUCCUGAUCAGAUGCAGGCUCACUUGACUUGACCAUCAUCCAAUUGACCGAUUCACUUUACACGUGGUAACUCAGUUAUGCUUAAGAUCCACCAAAUAGCAGUAAUUUCUGCCGCCGUAAAUCUCAAUCUCUUCGGCAUCAUUCAUGGGGUUUUUUGAUGAACCGAAUCUAGGUUUGAUGUUGCUUUCUUCCUGGAGAUCAAAGAUGGAUUUUGAUCCAUUGAUUUCCAUAAUAAUAAAAUCUCCUCUCAAAUGUGCAAGUAAAAUUAGUUUAUUUUUAUAUCUUGAUUUUCAAUUCCAUUCCGAUAAUUUGAAUCUGAGAGUUAUUUUUAGUUUUUUUCAAUUUGAUUUUAGUGACUGUCGCACUAAUUUGAUUCAACUCCUCCUUAUUGAUUUGUUGUUGCCAUU